Papio anubis (olive baboon) is the source of this 148-nucleotide unclassified non-coding RNA. It matches the Rfam family "Metazoan signal recognition particle RNA". Rfam says of the family: The signal recognition particle (SRP) is a universally conserved ribonucleoprotein. It is involved in the co-translational targeting of proteins to membranes. Lineage: Eukaryota; Metazoa; Chordata; Mammalia; Primates; Cercopithecidae. The record is from Ensembl.
GCCGGGUGUGGUGGCGGGCACCUGUAGUCCCAGCUACUUAGGAGGCUGAGGCAGGAGAAUCGCUUGAACCCAGGAGGUUGAGGUUGUAGUGAGCCAAGAUGGCACCACUGCACUCCAGCCUGGGCAACAGAGUGAGACUCCACCUCAA